RNAcentral lists this ribosomal RNA (505 nucleotides) under uncultured bacterium. RNAcentral describes it as "partial 16S ribosomal RNA". It matches the Rfam family "Bacterial small subunit ribosomal RNA", at positions 29 to 523 of the family's 1533-position model. The record is from RNAcentral.
AGUGAACGCUUGCGGUAGGCCUAACACAUGCAAGUCGAACGGCAGCACAGAGGAGCUUGCUCCUUGGGUGGCGAGUGGCGGACGGGUGAGGAAUACAUCGGAAUCUACUCUGUCGUGGGGGAUAACGUAGGGAAACUUACGCUAUACCGCAUACGACCUACGGGUGAAAGCAGGGGACCUUCGGGCCUUGCGCGAUUGAAUGAGCCGAUGUCGGAUUAGCUCGUUGGCGGGGUAAAGGCCCACCAAGGCGACGAUCCGUAGCUGGUCUGAGAGGAUGAUCAGCCAGACUGGAACUGAGACACGGUCCAGACUCCUACGGGGGGCAGGAGUGGGGAAUAUUGGACAAUGGGCGCAAGCCUGAUCCAGCCAUACCGCGUGGGUGAAGAAGGCCUUCGGGUUGUAAAGCCCUUUUGUUGGGAAAGAAAUCCAGCUGGCUAAUACCCGGUUGGGAUGACGGUACCCAAAGAAUAAGCACCGGCUAACUUCGUGCCAGCAGCCGCGGUAA